GAUGAACGCUGGCGGCGUGCCUAAUACAUGCAAGUCGAGCGAACAGACGAGGAGCUUGCUCCUCUGACGUUAGCGGCGGACGGGUGAGUAACACGUGGAUAACCUACCUAUAAACCUGGGAUAACUUCGGGAAACCGGAGCUAAUACCGGAUAAUAUAUUGAACCGCAUGGUUCAAUAGUGAAAGACGGUUUUGCUGUCACUUAUAGAUGGAUCCGCGCCGCAUUAGCUAGUUGGUAAGGUAACGGCUUACCAAGGCGACGAUGCGUAGCCGACCUGAGAGGGUGAUCGGCCACACUGGAACUGAGACACGGUCCAGACUCCUACGGGAGGCAGCAGUAGGGAAUCUUCCGCAAUGGGCGAAAGCCUGACGGAGCAACGCCGCGUGAGUGAUGAAGGUCUUCGGAUCGUAAAACUCUGUUAUUAGGGAAGAACAAAUGUGUAAGUAACUAUGCACGUCUUGACGGUACCUAAUCAGAAAGCCACGGCUAACUACGUG
Molecule: ribosomal RNA, 497 nt
Filed under: uncultured bacterium
Lineage: Bacteria
Description: partial 16S ribosomal RNA
Rfam family: Bacterial small subunit ribosomal RNA
Source: RNAcentral